GUUAAUGCUCUCGUACUCGUUCCCCAUGUAAAAGCCGGUCAUCUAUCCGACCCGUCUUGAAACACGGACCAAGGAGUUUAUCGUGUGCGCAAGUUUUUGGGUGUUAAAAACUUAAAAGCGAAAUGAAAGUAAAUGACUCUUUAGAGUCUGAUGUGCGAUCUUGUAAAAAAGUGUAGCAUGGCCCCAUUCUAACUGUUUACAGUAGGGUGU
This 210-nucleotide ribosomal RNA is filed under the name Meloidogyne sp. UPR-2020. RNAcentral's name for it is "partial large subunit ribosomal RNA". It matches the Rfam family "Eukaryotic large subunit ribosomal RNA", at positions 598 to 791 of the family's 3401-position model. Lineage: Eukaryota; Metazoa; Nematoda; Chromadorea; Rhabditida; Meloidogynidae. The record is from RNAcentral.